RNAcentral lists this transfer RNA (87 nucleotides) under Candidatus Omnitrophota bacterium. Its description in RNAcentral is "Candidatus Omnitrophica bacterium tRNA-Ser". It matches the Rfam family "tRNA". From Rfam's summary of the family: Transfer RNA (tRNA) molecules are approximately 80 nucleotides in length. Their secondary structure includes four short double-helical elements and three loops (D, anti-codon, and T loops). The record is from RNAcentral. Lineage: Bacteria; Pseudomonadati; Candidatus Omnitrophota.
GGAGGAGUGCCAGAGCGGUUGAAUGGGGCGGUCUCGAAAACCGUUAGGGUCGCAAGGCCCUCGAAGGUUCGAAUCCUUCCUCCUCCG